This 7405-nucleotide long non-coding RNA is filed under the name Lactuca sativa (garden lettuce). Its description in RNAcentral is "long non-coding RNA (LSAT_LNC008708)". The record is from RNAcentral. Lineage: Eukaryota; Viridiplantae; Streptophyta; Magnoliopsida; Asterales; Asteraceae.
AGAUCUGAACCUCCAACUCGAAUUGGUUACAAAUCAUACCAAUAAUGACCAAAACUCACACAUAAGAAUAGAUCUAGAUGCAAAGGGAGUCCAAUCAACAGCUUAUUACCUCCAAUUGAUCUGAAAUGUCUUCUCAAUCUCGGAUCUACAGUCCCUUCUUGCACUUCCAAGGCUUUUCUUCCUUCUCCAAGCUUAUAGUGCUCUCUUCAAUGCAAGAUCUAGCUCAAAAACGAACAUGACGGCUAGGGUUGAUGUUCUGGGGGUAAAGAGGCACUAAAGGAACCCUAGGAAAGAGAAUGAGACGCUUAAAUAGGCUCCAAGUCCCGGAUUUAGGGUUUUCCUCGAUCAGACCCAACUCGUCGAGUCUCCUUGGCCGACUCGCCGAGUCGGUCGCUUUCACCACAACCCGGAUCCCGCUCGGACUCGCCGAGUCCCUCCAUGGACUCGCCGAGUCUCCCCUAAACUUGAGGUUUUCUUUCUUUUCUUGGCUUUCCAAACUUUGGGGUGUUACAACUCUCCCCCACUUAAACUAAACUUCGUCCUCGAAGUUUGCUAUGAUCAACUGCCUGCGCACUGCCUCCAAUUCUCUGUCUGGAAAACCAACACCCUUUUGUCCGACACUCCAGCCACUCACCAUGCCGAUCAUUACCGUUGGAACAUACUGAAUCCUUCUCUUUUCCAUAAUUUCCUCAACGUUACUUCCUCCGACUGAAAAUCCUGCUGCCUCCCAUUUGCCUACCGGAUGCACUGAGACUACUCUGGUCUAACCAAUCUCCCUAUAUCUGAGUUACCGGACUCCCACCGGUCACUACACUCCAUCGCAAACUCCUAGUCUCUUCCAGCGACUCCUGAAGAUACUUCGACUAUCUAUAACUGUUCUAUCCAUUCUGCCGCUCAUACUGAAACGAUGCUGCUGGAACCAGCUUGCUUAUAUCCCAUCUGAUUACUCAACUCCUACUAACUCGAGCCUUCCAUCCUGAAAGAAAAGCUACCUGCCUAGCUAUCCUUACAGAUCACUUAUACUUGGCAGAAGGCUCAACUGAUCCUGCUGAGAGGGACUUGCCAUUUCCAAAUCAACCAACUAUACCGUCAGCACUUGCAUUCCAACACAAAUACUAAUACUGACCCAAAACUCUGAAACCUUCCAAACACUGAACUGCCUGCAAUACUGAACAUGCCUGAAACUCUAAACUGCCUGAAACGCUGAACCGACUGAAACGCUGAACGGCCUGAAACACUGAACUGACUGAAACACUGAGCUGCCUGAAACACUGAACUGGCUGAAACACUGAGCUGCCUGAAACACUGAACUGGCUGAAACACUGAGCUGCCUGAAACACUGAGCUGCCUGAAACACUGAGCUGCCUGAAACACUGAACUGACUGAAACACUGAGCUGCCUGAAACACUGAACUGACUGAAACACUGAGCUGCCUGAAACACUGAACUGACUGAAACACUGAGCUGCCUGAAACAUUGAACUGACUGAAACACUGAGCUGCCUGAAACACUGAACUGGCUGAAACACUGAGCUGCCUGAAACACUGAACUGGCUAAAACACUGAGCUGCCUGAAACACUGAACUCCAACCCAACUGUGGAGUCAAGGGACUCCUCACUUAGUCGCUUCCACGACUCCUGAACGAAAUCUUCCUCUAGGACUAGUUUCCACUAGUUAUCCUGUCACUGUGGCUCUAGCAACCUUCCGAUCCAACCGAUCGGGUUCAUACGUCACCUCCUGACAUCAUCAAUUCCACGACUAACAACAUGAUGGCUCCCAGACUGACGGUAGCCCACAACAUACCCGAACCCCAACGGUCCACUGCGACUCUGAUCUCAUAACUGAUGUGACGAUCUAUAGCCCAAAUUGCUGACUUAGCCAUAACUGAUCCCUUUGGGAAAUCCGAAAGCUAACCCGUGGAUUCCCAUAUCCUCACUGCUGCACCCGAACUGGUGGGUACAACUGCUUUCCCGCGUCUAACACGCGCUCAUGCUACCUACCAAUCUGAUAAAAGGCUGCGACUACGCUCGCGGACUUACAACUCUCUAAUACUAUCUGGCUGCUAGUGGAUGCUACGGCUACCCCCGCAGACUUACAACACCACUACUACUACCAUCUGACUGCUAGUGAAUGCUACGGCUGCCCCCGCAGACUUACAACACUACCACUAUCUCGAGAACAUCCUGACUAUCCCUAGUCCCGCUAGUGAUUCCUCAUCCCGAUUUCAAAAAAAAACAGUCCUUAGACUUUGAAUUCUGCAUCAUCCUCGACAUCUUAUAUCCUUGAUAUACUUAGCGCUUCGUCGAGGAAUCCUUCGGCUUGGUUCCCAAACCAACCGUCUACUAAUCCGGAUACAAGAAGCUAUUGUUGGGAAGUUUCCAACCUCCCAACUCCUGAAUCUACGCAACCUGCAUGCUGCCUCAGACACUGGCUACUAAUACGAAAACAUCUCUUGUUACCCGUUCUCAGGAUCUUCAUUCCGACUCUCAUGCGUCCGACAGGUGGUCCUCCAAUCCUGGAUUCCCAACCAGCUUCUAACCAUCUCGAUUACAUGAACUAACUGCUGGGAAAAGUUCUCGAACUCCCAAUUCUGAACUUCUCAAUCCAUCCAUCACUGUGCUACUACCAUUUCUUCUCAGAGGCCGCGCACUCAUUCUGAGUCUACGAGACUCUUAUCCAUGUAUACCCGGAGGGUUCUCCCCCACUUCGAUCCUGCUUACCCCUUGCUGCUUCACACUCAAAAGAGAUCCCGAUCUUUGCUGCCAUUCUAUAAUCAUUCUGCUAAGGAGCCCAAGCCUGCCAUAGCUAGGGAUCUAACCAAUCCAUCCCAACACUAACCACUCCGAACUAGCGAAACGAACCAAAUCUCUCCCAACCAUGCUAUAGUUACUGCAUCCUCCGAAACCUUCUCCAUAAGAGCACAUCCCCUAACUACCAACCAAUUAUCCGAGGUAUGCAAAUGGCAUAUAACAUAAUCACAAGCAAGCCACACUAUAACACAACACUUAUACCACAAUUUGAUGCAGAACCAUAACAAUAUAAUCAUGACAUAAGCUGACAGAAAAACAAAAGUUACGUACCUUCAUUACUCAGUGCUGCUCGAAUCCCUGCUGAAAUCUACCGGAAAACUCGGCUCUGAGCCGUAGGCACCCUUGCCGGGCCUCGACAACUGCUGGCGGUACUCGAAGUCCCAAGGGCAGGAGCUGGCACCUGCCCUGCUGGAUACAAACUCGGACAGUGGGCCUUCUUGUGGCCCCUCUGACUGCAAUGGAAACAUAACGGAUCAAGCCCCUGGGCGAUGGUAACAACACAGUCUCUGCUAAAAUGACCAAUCUGGCCGCACUUGAAACACCCAGCAUCGCCACCACUUCUACGCCUACACACACCCAUGUGCGUCCUUCCGCACUUCCCGCAUCGACUGCGGCUCUGAUAGUUCCUCGUCCUCAAAUCUGGACCCUUGGGCCUCUUACCCGAACCUGUGGCUACCUGAGUCUCAUCAAUUUUCCUUUUCCCUUCUGACUCCCUGCCCGACUCUCGCUCCUGCGUUACCCCAACGGCAACGCCUGCUAACUGAACAACAGAUGUCUGAUCCUGAAGCCUCGCUAUCAAUCUAUCAGUGAUCCUCACGACCAUGUCGGGCAGAUCCUCGCGAAAGGCUCGCGAAACUUCCUCAACUAUCCAAUCAUGCAAUGGUCUCUCUUGGAGACAGAAUUCCCCACUCACCCCUGCCCCCUGAUGGCAGGAACUAGAAAUGGGAUCUCCCUCCCUGAUGGAUCCCUGAACUCCAUAAGAUUCGGGACCUAGACGAGCCCCAAUCUGUCCUGAAACUAACCCGGCCUUAAAGGCCUCAAGAUGACUGUCCAUGAGCUCCACAAUGGCCUCUCUAACCGAACCGAAAAUCACUGGAGUCUGAUCAAUGAUGUUGCGCGUAAUCUCUGCGGAAAUGAAAUCCCUCAUCUGAUCAUCAAGCUGCCCGGCUCUGAAGCCCGAGCCAGACCCCUCCUCGACACCUGAACUGCUAACUGGUAUCUCGCGCAACGUCACCAUGCUGAAAAUAUAACAAAAUCCUGAUCAAUUUACAUACUACUGCUGAGGAAUUUCUCGCAUACUCUACUAGUUCCUUGAUUUUGCCUCGGCCCCUCUUGAAUCGAAUACGGAUCCUCUGCUUUCAGUAGUAUGGGCCCCUACUACCUUCCACAUCUAUCCGUACUUUCCUCAAGAGUUACCUCAACUCCACCAAGUCCCCUUUACUCUUCAACUGAUCUCUGCUACUCUCAUCCUAGGCUUGCCCUAGGGAACCUCUGACUCUACUCAAACCAGUCCUCAGCUGCUGAAGGCCUCCUUGUAAUGCCAAUUAGCCACCACCUGAAUACCAUCACAUGUAAUGAGGCUCGGAUAAUCCUUCGAGUAAAAGUCUCGUCCCUACAACGGUUGGACUCAAACGAGAGCUGCGCAGUAGGGCCAAAUCCAGCACUCUGAGAUUAUUCAACCCUGCUCACAUGUGAUGUGACGUAUUCACCUAAUGGCUAAAUCCCACCACUCGGAGUCCCACAAAGCACAAAGCAAGCAGCAUUCGGAUAAAGGAGACAUACUCAGGCAAAACUAUUCUCAUAACGAGAAACUACACUAGCAUACAAUGCUAAGCUCGUGCUACCAGGCAUAACCUAAACAGGCUAUCCUACUGCUGUCUACUCAAUACUAGCAUGCAAUUCUCAUAAAGCUGAACACAUAAAGCAGGCACAUAAGGCAUCAUCCUAGAUCCUUAGUCCUAUUCUAGCAUGCUGUUCUACUGAAGCUGGAACUGAAACUGAAACUGAAACCGAUACUGAUAAUCAUAAUAUAACUUGUAUGGGUAAAUUGGGAGUACUUACUUGAGCUCGGCUGAUUGCAUGCACCACACCCUUUUCUCUUUUCAAAACUCUUUUUGCUUUUUCUAAAAAUUGUUUUCUUUUCUCAAAAUUCUUUUGUAACUACGAUUUUUCUUUUGAAAACUAUAUACCACUUCCUUAGUUUGAGUUCAAACACACUCAGGAGUGCGCCCGAAUCCCUCAAACCAAGGCUCUGAUACCAACUUGUAACGACCCAAAAAUCAUGACUAAAAAUUUCUUUUAAACAUUACUAAAAAUAGAUUUAUAACAACGUAUCAUAAGUCAAACAUAACUUUUGAGUAUUAAAUUCAAAACAUAAUAUCAUUAUCAGAGUCAAACAUUCCCAGGCUAACUGACUAUGGUGUGUGCUCUGCAAUCUUCCCGAGCUCCUCUUUUGAAAACCGAGUACCUGAAACCAAAACUGAAAACCGUAAGCACGAAGCUUAGUGAGCUCCCCCAAUCUACCACAUACCACACAAAAACAUAUAAAGCACAUAUUGGGCCUUGCCCACUGCAUCAGACCGAAGUCCGGACUAACUGGGGCCUUGCCCCCUGCAUCGGACCGAAGUCCGGAAACUGACUGGGACCUUGUCCCCUGCAUCGGACCGAAGUCCGGACUAACUGGGACCUUGUCCCCUGCAUCGGACCGAAGUCCGGGCUAACUGGGGCCUUGCCCCCUGCAUCGGACCGAAGUCCGGACUAACUGGGACCUUGUCCCCUGCAUCGGACCGAAGUCCGGGCUAACUGGGGCCUUGCCCCCUGCAUCGGACCGAAGUCCGGACUAACUGGGACCUUGUCCCCUGCAUCGGACCGAAGUCCGGGCUAACUGGGGCCUUGCCCCCUGCAUCGGACCGAAGUCCGGACUAACUGGGACCUUGUCCCCUGCAUCGGACCGAAGUCCGGGCUAACUGAACAGAACAUAACAUAAACAUAUCAACUAGCAUGAACACACGUAUACUGCAUACUACUUCGGGCCGUAGCCCGGAACACAUAACACAUAAAUCCUGUCUGAGCCACGAAGGCAUCAAACAUACUAACUACUAUAUCAGAUCAACAUCCGAAAACUACUGCUAGCUAAACGGGCCGGCAUUGUGGCCUUAGACCCAUUCCUACUGGAAGGAAACUCACCUGAACUGCUGAGCCCUGCUGAUAAACCUCUGGCUGCUACUCGACAAUCCCCUGAACCGCUGCUCCUCUAGCUCUCCGAGCUAUCAAUAUACAUAUAACACUUAGUCUGACAGUCAACUAAGUCAACUCUGGUCAAAGUCAACCUUCCAGGUCAACCCUACUCGCCGAGUCUUCCUAAAGACUCGCCGAGUUCAUAAGCUCAGGGUCUUUCUUAUUCGCGACCCGACUCGCCGAGUCAGUCCAUGACUCGCCGAGUCCAACUAGUUCCAUGACCUGUCCUGUCCAACUCGCUGAGUCACCACCCGACUCACUGAUUCGAGUCUCAACUCAAAGGGUUUAGGGUUUCGCGAUCUGACUCGCCGAGUCCAAGAACAGACUCGCCGAGUUCAAGACAAUCUUCAACCAACUCGUCGAGUUGUUCAUCCAACUCGCCGAGUCCAUGCCUAACUUCAACCGACUCGACGAGCUGUUCAUCCUACUCGUCGAGUUCCUCCUCAUCUUCAAGCUACUCGCCGAGUCCACUCGAAGGACUCGCCGAGUCUAUCCAGUCCUCAAUCCAUGCAGUGGCUUUUCGAGCCAAACAGAACUUCCAACUCAUAGAUCCAUACUUCUAGGGCCUAUUCCCCACGUAAAGUGGCAAACUUUACGUGUAGAUUGAGAGAUCUAAGCUCAAAACACACUAAACUAGGGUUUAUGGCAAACAUGCUUCUUCAACAUACCAAGGGCUGAUACUUUAGGGGAUUCAAGACCAAAACCAACAUGGAUCUGAGGUAGCAACCUCAGAUCUGAACCUCCAACUCGAAUUGGUUGCAUAACAUACCAAUAAUGACCCAAAACUCACACAAGAAUAGAUCUAGAUGCAAAGGGAGUCUAAUCAACAACUUAUUACCUCCAAUUGAUCUUAAAUGUCUUCUCAAUCUCGGAUCUACAGCCCCUUCUUGCUCUUCCAAGGCUUUUCUUCCUUCUCCAAGCUUGUAGCUCUCUCUUUGAUGCAAGAUCUAGCUCCAAAAACGGAUAUGGCGGCUAGGGUUGAUGUUCUGGGGGGUAAAGAGGCACUAAAGGAACCCUAGGAAAAAGAAUGAGACGCUUAAAUAGGCUCCAAGUCCCGGAUUUAGGGUUUUCCUCAUUCAGACCCAACUCGUCGAGUCUCCUUGGCCGACUCGCCGAGUCGGUCGCUAACACCUCACCCGGUUCCCGCUCGGACUCGCCGAGUCCCUCCUUGGACUCGCCGAGUCCCCCCCCCUAAACUUGAGGUUUUCUUUCUUUUCUUGGCUUUCCAAACUUUGGGGUGUUACAAUUUUAUUACCCAAGUAUUAAAGAUUGUAUGCUAGUUAGGGUAAUACCUUGGAAUAUUCAUAUUUGCAUGUAUAACAGAGAAAACGUAGAUCCAAGGUAUUUAGGGUUGCAUGU